Molecule: small RNA, 517 nt
Filed under: Histoplasma capsulatum
Lineage: Eukaryota; Fungi; Ascomycota; Eurotiomycetes; Onygenales; Ajellomycetaceae
Also listed under: 1 other name
Description: hypothetical RNA
Source: RNAcentral
UGUGGUCAAGCAAACCUCGGUUUAACCACAAUGGCCAUCUAGAUUCGGAUGAAGAGGUUGGUCAUAAACUUCUAGACGAAGGGUAUAUAUGGCGACGCGAAAGAUCGGAUUGGGUGGGGACAUCAACCGAUAUAUCGGAUUGCAAUAGCCCGGGUGCGAUAAAUUGAGGUUACAUCUAGGACGUCAUGGCCCGUGCUUCCAGCGGACAGGAAAUGUGGCAGAUUGAUGUGGAAACUCACAUCUGUUAUUGAGAAUACGUAUCUACGUCUUGAGUUCUCUUCGCCUGGUAUCCCGAACUAUGGCCAAGGUCGGAGGAAACAAUAGUAUACUGUACGGGUCAACAGCAUCUGAGUAACAUUUGAGAGCUGUGUGGAGGUCCGCACACACGUUGUGCAUGGUUUGUAACAUGCAAACAAUGAUUUAUGGAACCUUUCGCAUCCACCCAAUGUGCGUUCUUAGACCGAACCUUGCUGUAUCGGUCGGAGAAAUGAGCGAUGGACAACGAAUAUAUAUGAAG